Molecule: ribosomal RNA, 155 nt
Filed under: Ramaria flavigelatinosa
Lineage: Eukaryota; Fungi; Basidiomycota; Agaricomycetes; Gomphales; Gomphaceae
Also listed under: 3 other names
Description: 5.8S ribosomal RNA
Rfam family: 5.8S ribosomal RNA
About the family: 5.8S ribosomal RNA (5.8S rRNA) is a component of the large subunit of the eukaryotic ribosome. It is transcribed by RNA polymerase I as part of the 45S precursor that also contains 18S and 28S rRNA. Functionally, it is thought that 5.8S rRNA may be involved in ribosome translocation.
Source: RNAcentral
AACUUUCAACAACGGAUCUCUUGGCUUUUGCAUCGAUGAAGAACGCCGCGAAAGUGCGAAACGUAAUGUGAAUUGCAGAAUUCAGUGAAUCAUCGAAUCUUUGAACGCAUCUUGCGCUCCUUGGUAUUCCGAGGAGCAUGCCUGUUUGAGUGUCG